RNAcentral lists this unclassified non-coding RNA (336 nucleotides) under soil metagenome. RNAcentral's name for it is "partial contains 5.8S ribosomal RNA, internal transcribed spacer 2, and large subunit ribosomal RNA". The stretch from base 1 to 120 matches the Rfam family "5.8S ribosomal RNA", at positions 35 to 154 of the family's 154-position model. The record is from RNAcentral.
GAUGAAGAACGUAGCGAAAUGGGAUAAGUAGUGUGAAUUGCAGAAUUCAGUGAAUCAUCGAAUCUUUGAACGCACAUUGCGCCCCUUGGUAUUCCAUGGGGCAUGCCUGUUCGAGCGUCAUUUGUACCUUCAAGCUUUGCUUGGUGUUGGGUGUUUGUCUCGCCUUUGCGUGUAGACUCGCCUUAAAAUAAUUGGCAGCCGGCGUAUUGAUUUCGGAGCGCAGUACAUCUCGCGCUUUGCACUCAUAACGACAGCGUCCAAAAGUACAUUUUACACUCUUGACCUCGGAUCAGGAAGGGAUACCCGCUGAACUUAAGCAUAUCAAUAAGCGGAGGA